Molecule: ribosomal RNA, 450 nt
Filed under: Mesorhizobium sp.
Lineage: Bacteria; Pseudomonadati; Pseudomonadota; Alphaproteobacteria; Hyphomicrobiales; Phyllobacteriaceae
Description: partial 23S ribosomal RNA
Rfam family: Bacterial large subunit ribosomal RNA
Source: RNAcentral
AUCUAGCCAUGGGCAGGUUGAAGGUUGAGUAACAUCAACUGGAGGACCGAACCCACUAACGUUGCAAAGUUAGGGGAUGACCUGUGGCUGGGGGUGAAAGGCCAAUCAAACUCGGAGAUAGCUGGUUCUCCCCGAAAGCUAUUUAGGUAGCGCCUCGGACGAAUACUACUGGGGGUAGAGCACUGUUUGGGCUAGGGGGUCAUCCCGACUUACCAACCCCAUGCAAACUCCGAAUACCAGUAAGUAAUAUCCGGGAGACACACGGCGGGUGCUAACGUCCGUCGUGAAGAGGGAAACAACCCAGACCGCCGGCUAAGGUCCCAAAGUUCUGGUUAAGUGGGAAACGAUGUGGGAAGGCUCAGACAGCUAGGAUGUUGGCUUAGAAGCAGCCAUCAUUUAAAGAAAGCGUAAUAGCUCACUAGUCGAGUCGGCCUGCGCGGAAGAUGUAAC